RNAcentral lists this long non-coding RNA (316 nucleotides) under Daucus carota (carrot). RNAcentral's name for it is "long non-coding RNA (DCAR_LNC007045)". The record is from RNAcentral. Lineage: Eukaryota; Viridiplantae; Streptophyta; Magnoliopsida; Apiales; Apiaceae.
GUCUAUGAGUAUCAUGAUCUAAGGGAGAAGCAGUAUAGAGGUGUAUAUGGUGAUUGGAGAUUUCACGAUGAUUCUAAUUAUCUCAGUCCUAUUGAGGAAGAACAAGAUGAUGUUGAACCGGAUAACAAAGUUAUUGAUUUGACUGCUGGUGAUGAAGAUAAACAUCCACAGCAAACAUCUCAAAGUAAUGCAUCUGAAGCUCAACAUGAACAAUCUUCCACAUUCAACUAUCAAGAUCAAAAGGAGAGAUUGAUGAAGCGUUAUAUGCAGAUCAACAGAGUAUUCUCUUGCCGACUAACCUAUGUGCCUUAUGUAC